Molecule: ribosomal RNA, 437 nt
Filed under: Bacteroidetes bacterium SCGC AAA027-P14
Lineage: Bacteria; Pseudomonadati; Bacteroidota
Description: bacterial SSU rRNA
Rfam family: Bacterial small subunit ribosomal RNA
Source: RNAcentral
GUGAGGAGAUAUUGCGCAAUGGACGAAAGUCUGACGCAGCCAUGCCGCGUGCAGGAUGACGGCCCUAUGGGUUGUAAACUGCUUUUGUAUGGGAAUAAACCCUUCUACGUGUAGAAGGCUGAAGGUACCAUAAGAAUAAGCACCGGCUAACUCCGUGCCAGCAGCCGCGGUAAUACGGAGGGUGCAAGCGUUAUCCGGAUUUAUUGGGUUUAAAGGGUCCGUAGGCGGGCCGAUAAGUCAGUGGUGAAAGCCCAUAGCUCAACUAUGGAACUGCCAUUGAUACUGUCGGUCUUGAGUAUAUGUGAUGUUGGCGGAAUGUGUAGUGUAGCGGUGAAAUGCUUAGAUAUUACACAGAACACCGAUUGCGAAGGCAGCUGACAAAUAUAUAACUGACGCUGAGGGACGAAAGUGUGGGGAUCAAACAGGAUUAGAUACCC